RNAcentral lists this long non-coding RNA (1338 nucleotides) under Gallus gallus (chicken). Its description in RNAcentral is "lncRNA (ENSGALG00010005103.1)". The record is from RNAcentral. Lineage: Eukaryota; Metazoa; Chordata; Aves; Galliformes; Phasianidae.
UUUCUUAUUACUGUCCCAUUUCUAACUGAGGGAAAUCAUUGUUCAACCUUUUCUCUGGCAUCAUUAUUCCCUUAUGCUAGGAAAGCGUUCCAGUCUGUGCUCUGUCUAGAGAGCAUUUCUGCUGGGUGCGAGCACGCACUUUACACGUGCCUUUUAGUAAACUGUACAUUCUGGGGAAGUAUUUGUCACAUAUGAAGAGUCUAGACUACCCAGAUGAGACCAUUACGUUGUCAUCUGGCCAUAACCCAAAACAAAUAUUAUCCCUCCCGUGACUACAUUAGACUAAUAUCACUAAGUCCUUAAAUACUCCCAAGCGUUCUUGUUUCCUCCUGGCUUGUGCCCUGUUCCAUCAGAGUGAAGCAGGCUCGUGCACUGUGCUGCAGCUCUGAUGAGGAAAUGGGCCAUUUGGUGGCAUUUCAGCCCAUUUGCUACACACAGAUGGGCAGAUGGAAUGCUGGCUGUGCACAUCGGCUUCACCCAAACCAGUCUGUGGUCACUCAUGCCAGGGACCUGCUGCAUUUUCACCUUUGGGGAGCUUAUGGUGUCCUUUGAAUCUUCGAACAUUCUUCAGGACUGAUAUUUAUGCCUGCUGGAGCCUGAGGAGCUGUUGGGUUGGAGGAUCUUUUUUCCCAACUCCAAAGCCAGAGCUGCCUCAAGCUGUGCCUCCCGGACUGCCCAAUCAGCCUCAGAUUCUGCGGCAUCACAGAAUCAUGGAGUAUCUGAGACUGGAAAGGACCCACAAGAAUCAUUGUGCCCAACUCCUGGCUCCCCAAAAUCAAACCAUAUGAGUGAGGCAGACAUCCUCCUGUUUGCUCUUGAAUGAGGGCAGAGUUCCCCUUUCUGGCCUGGGAGAAGAUCAUGAUGGUGUUUUUCUCUGGGAAUCAAAUCCCCGUUCUUAGUUCUCCUGUGAUCUAAGGGCCUCAUAAGCUGAGGCAUUGCUUUCUAUGACAAAGCCUUCCUUCUCACUUCCUCUCUCUUCCCCUCCAGCCAGGGCAGUUUCAGCAGAGGUAUCACAAUAGUGUCUCUGCCCCACAACAGGGCAUGAUGCUGGGGCUGGGCUGUGAAGGAGGAUGCCUGAAGUAAAACUCCAAGAACAACCAUGCUAGGACAGAUCAAGAGGCCAUGCAUCCCACUCCUGUCUUUGAAAGUCAUUAGUAGGAGAUACAUAGGGAAACAACAUAAUAAAAAGAGAGAAAAGGAGCAACGUUUACUGUAUCAUACUUGCCCAGCUUCUAGAAAUCAGCAGCUCAGGAAAAAUCAAACCUUUCUUUUCCUUUUCCUUUUCCUUUUCCUUUUCCUUUUCCUUUUCCUUUUCCUUUUCCUUUUCCUUUUCCUUUU